RNAcentral lists this ribosomal RNA (294 nucleotides) under uncultured microorganism. RNAcentral describes it as "partial 16S ribosomal RNA". It matches the Rfam family "Bacterial small subunit ribosomal RNA", at positions 505 to 796 of the family's 1533-position model. The record is from RNAcentral.
GUGCCAGCAGCCGCGGUAAUACGGAGGGUGCGAGCGUUAAUCGGAAUUACUGGGCGUAAAGCGCAUGCAGGUGGUUUGUUAAGUCAGAUGUGAAAGCCCGGGGCUCAACCUCGGAACUGCAUUUGAAACUGGCAAACUAGAGUACUGUAGAGGGGGGGUAGAAUUUCAGGUGUAGCGGUGAAAUGCGUAGAGAUCUGAAGGAAUACCAGUGGCGAAGGCGGCCCCCCUGGACAGAUACUGACACUCAGAUGCGAAAGCGUGGGGAGCAAACAGGAUUAGAUACCCUGGUAGUCC